RNAcentral lists this ribosomal RNA (253 nucleotides) under uncultured bacterium. Its description in RNAcentral is "partial 16S ribosomal RNA". It matches the Rfam family "Bacterial small subunit ribosomal RNA", at positions 524 to 776 of the family's 1533-position model. The record is from RNAcentral.
UACGUAGGGCGCAAGCGUUGUCCGGAAUUAUUGGGCGUAAAGAGCUCGUAGGCGGUCUGUCGCGUCCGUUGUGAAAACCCGGGGCUCAACCCCGGGCCUGCAUUCGAUACGGGCAGACUAGAGUUCGGUAGGGGAGUCUGGAAUUCCUGGUGUAGCGGUGAAAUGCGCAGAUAUCAGGAGGAACACCGGUGGCGAAGGCGGGACUCUGGGCCGAUACUGACGCUGAGGAGCGAAAGCGUGGGGAGCAAACAGG